This 1372-nucleotide ribosomal RNA is filed under the name uncultured bacterium. RNAcentral describes it as "bacterial SSU rRNA". It matches the Rfam family "Bacterial small subunit ribosomal RNA", at positions 28 to 1381 of the family's 1533-position model. The record is from RNAcentral.
GAUGAACGCUGGCGGCGUGCCUAAUACAUGCAAGUCGAGCGAACGGACGAGAAGCUUGCUUCUCUGAUGUUAGCGGCGGACGGGUGAGUAACACGUGGAUAACCUACCUAUAAGACUGGGAUAACUUCGGGAAACCGGAGCUAAUACCGGAUAAUAUUUUGAACCGCAUGGUUCAAAAGUGAAAGACGGUCUUGCUGUCACUUAUAGAUGGAUCCGCGCUGCAUUAGCUAGUUGGUAAGGUAACGGCUUACCAAGGCAACGAUGCAUAGCCGACCUGAGAGGGUGAUCGGCCACACUGGAACUGAGACACGGUCCAGACUCCUACGGGAGGCAGCAGUAGGGAAUCUUCCGCAAUGGGCGAAAGCCUGACGGAGCAACGCCGCGUGAGUGAUGAAGGUCUUCGGAUCGUAAAACUCUGUUAUUAGGGAAGAACAUAUGUGUAAGUAACUGUGCACAUCUUGACGGUACCUAAUCAGAAAGCCACGGCUAACUACGUGCCAGCAGCCGCGGUAAUACGUAGGUGGCAAGCGUUAUCCGGAAUUAUUGGGCGUAAAGCGCGCGUAGGCGGUUUUUUAAGUCUGAUGUGAAAGCCCACGGCUCAACCGUGGAGGGUCAUUGGAAACUGGAAAACUUGAGUGCAGAAGAGGAAAGUGGAAUUCCAUGUGUAGCGGUGAAAUGCGCAGAGAUAUGGAGGAACACCAGUGGCGAAGGCGACUUUCUGGUCUGUAACUGACGCUGAUGUGCGAAAGCGUGGGGAUCAAACAGGAUUAGAUACCCUGGUAGUCCACGCCGUAAACGAUGAGUGCUAAGUGUUAGGGGGUUUCCGCCCCUUAGUGCUGCAGCUAACGCAUUAAGCACUCCGCCUGGGGAGUACGACCGCAAGGUUGAAACUCAAAGGAAUUGACGGGGACCCGCACAAGCGGUGGAGCAUGUGGUUUAAUUCGAAGCAACGCGAAGAACCUUACCAAAUCUUGACAUCCUUUGACAACUCUAGAGAUAGAGCUUUCCCCUUCGGGGGACAAAGUGACAGGUGGUGCAUGGUUGUCGUCAGCUCGUGUCGUGAGAUGUUGGGUUAAGUCCCGCAACGAGCGCAACCCUUAAGCUUAGUUGCCAUCAUUAAGUUGGGCACUCUAAGUUGACUGCCGGUGACAAACCGGAGGAAGGUGGGGAUGACGUCAAAUCAUCAUGCCCCUUAUGAUUUGGGCUACACACGUGCUACAAUGGACAAUACAAAGGGCAGCGAAACCGCGAGGUCAAGCAAAUCCCGUAAAGUUGUUCUCAGUUCGGAUUGUAGUCUGCAACUCGACUACAUGAAGCUGGAAUCGCUAGUAAUCGUAGAUCAGCAUGCUACGGUGAAUACGUUCCCGGGUCU